RNAcentral lists this unclassified non-coding RNA (369 nucleotides) under uncultured fungus. Its description in RNAcentral is "sequence contains ITS1". The stretch from base 1 to 107 matches the Rfam family "5.8S ribosomal RNA", at positions 50 to 154 of the family's 154-position model. The record is from RNAcentral. Lineage: Eukaryota; Fungi.
GAAAUGCGAUACUUGGUGUGAAUUGCAGAAUCCCAUGAACCAUCAAGUCUUUGAAUGCAAGUUGCGCCCGAAGCCAUUAGGUUGAGGGCACGUCAGCUUGGGUGUCUUACGUUGUGUCGCCCAUACCCCCUCUCCGAAGGGAAGGGUUGCAGGCGGAUGUUGGCCCCCCGCAUGCGCCCGCACACGAUCAGUCUAAAAAUGAGCCCCUUGUGAUAAAUGACACAUCUCGAUGAGUGGUGGUUGACAAACUGUUAUGUCGCCUCACGUGAGUUAAAGUCAUCCUGGGAGGUCUGUUGUGACCCUAUCGCACCGCUGCCAAGACGUUCCGAUCGCGACCCCAGGUUAGGCGGGAUUUCCCACUAAGUUUAA